UUUUUUGCCCUUCAGCAGCGGCACUUGAACGCGUUCGGGGAUUUCAAGGGCAGACCUCGAUCUACUGCUUUGCAGGCUAUUCAAAUAAACUAAAUCGUAGAAGAUAUUGGACGAUCCACCGCGCUCCGUGACAUAGACAACGCUCAAAGGUGCAGAGUUUUGCGGGCCCAAGGUCUGUAUCAGGGUUUGAUUAGGUAAGAGAGAGAGGAGAGAAGAAGACAGAGAAGGAAAGAAACCGUUGAAAUUAAGCGAUUUGCCGUCGGUGAGCUGGAUCUCGUCGGCGGAGGAAGGUGAGGCACGAGUGGGGAGAGUAAAGAUGUCGAAAGCGUAGGUUGAUCUGCUACCGAGCGUGGCGAAGAUGAUGGUGGUGGCGCCGGAUGAUUCAUGGUCCGGCGAAGCACUGGAUAGAGCUAUUGAGAAAUGAAGAAGUAGAGUAAGGACUAGGGGUGCCAUGGGCUCUGGAGUUUCAC
This 470-nucleotide unclassified non-coding RNA is filed under the name Hevea brasiliensis (rubber tree). The record is from RNAcentral. Lineage: Eukaryota; Viridiplantae; Streptophyta; Magnoliopsida; Malpighiales; Euphorbiaceae.